GAUGAAGAACGUAGCGAAAUGCGAUAAGUAAUGCGAAUUGCAGAAUUCCAGUGAGUCAUCGAAUCUUUGAACGCACAUUGCGCCCUUUGGUAUUCUGAAGGGCAUGCCUGUUCGAGCGUCAUUAUCACCCCUCAAGACUACUUGAUGGCAGUUUUGGUGUUGGAUGGUUUGGUUAUGCUCUUGCUUAGACCCCUCCUAAAGACAAUGACGGCGGACUUGUGGAACCCCCGGUACAAUGAGCUUCUUAACUGAGCACGUAUCGGAUUAAGGGUGCCCGAGCCCCGGUCUUACUCCCUUAAGUGGGAAAACCUUUCUUAAGGUUGACCUCGGAUCAGGUAGGGAUACCCGCUGAACUUAAGCAUAUCAAUAAGCGGAGGA
Molecule: unclassified non-coding RNA, 378 nt
Filed under: soil metagenome
Description: partial contains 5.8S ribosomal RNA, internal transcribed spacer 2, and large subunit ribosomal RNA
Rfam family: 5.8S ribosomal RNA (bases 1-121)
Source: RNAcentral